UUUAAUGGAGUGAUUCCUUUUAAGUGCUUCAGCAAAAUGAAGGUAAAGUUUAGGUCUCCGAGAUUAAUUUCUUAUAAGUUUUUUGCAAAAAGAUCUGAAUUACUUGAGCUUAUGCCUAAGCAUUCACUGACUAAUAGCAGAAAAAAGAGCACACUGAUCUUUGCAAAUAUGUGAACUUCACACCUGAAUUUUUUUGACUGACCAGCAUAUGGCACAAGAAACCACCACCUCAGAGCAGAAGCAGAAGCACUAUGUCUGAACUCUCUGGCCAGCUGCCAGGAAGUCUGUGCAUGAUGUUUCUGUUCUUUAUAAGGAUGAGAAUAUUAUCCAACGGAUGAAGUAGAAGAAUUGACGUGAUAAGGGUUUCUGCAAGAGAGUAAAAAUUCAAGAGAGAUGUGUUCUGGGCUUUUCUCUGCUUUCUGAUUUCUUAAUAUCAGACCUUGUUCAUCCUUAGACUUAAUGUGACAGAAAGACACUGAAAAGGAAUCGUAGCUUUUGGAAACUGAAAAAAUGGCAAUUUGUCAAAGCUUACACAAGAAAUAGCAGAACUAUGAUUCAGGCUUAGAAAAUCUGGACCUCAGCUUCCUUGCUGACCUGCAGGGUGAUAUUCUGUUCAGCAAUCCUAAUGGAUGCCUGAAAAAUGUCUCCAGUGAAUGGCUUCUGCACCUUCAUCUAACCUCUGUUUCUGUAGUGCUUCUCUGAAGAACUAACAACUUUAACACUUGACCUGACACAUAUACUGACAAUGUGAAACAGAAAGCAGAAUCAUUGGUGCAAAUUUGGACUGAGAAGUGCUGAGAAGAGACAAUUAAAUUGAAAAGGUCUAUUGACAAUGAAGCAGCCAAAUGAGUGAGCUUCCAAUGCAAUGCAGAUGUAAAUAUAAAGCAGUGAGGCCCUACGUGCACGUUGCUUAAUAAGGUUUUCUCAGCAGCUGGAAAGAUCAGAUGCAAAUGUCUUAAAUCAAAACAGUUUUGCUUCACCUAUAGCAGAAGGGGCUAUUCAGAUUAGCUAUCAAUGAGCUCCAGCAUGACGUCACCCCGAAGCACAAGAAGGCACCUUUGUGCUGGGGCCCUUCCUCUGCUGGCUCCUGCUACACAUCCCACUCCCAGCAUGGGUCCCUCCCCUACCCAGAAACACUCCCUCAUUCCCCCUGCUGAAUGCAGGGCACCUCUGUGGAGCUGGCAGAGCCCCUUGGGAGCCUGCAAGCUCCAGCAGUCUGUGGUAGAGCAAGGAGCUUCCAUCCAAACCGUGUUCAGCAGCCUUGCACCUCGGCAACCCGCAGUGGGACCUCUGCAGCCCUCUUCAUCUGCUUCAGAUGCAGUCAAACCUGAAUGCUGCUGACUGAUGAGACAGACAGAGCAACUGGGGCGACCUAAUUAUUUUCAAGGCUGGAACCCCUUUGGUGGGAUGUACAAUGGCACACGAUUUAACCUUGUUACAGUACACAACUGCUGUUAAACAAGCACAGUGAAAAAAGAUGCAUGAAGAAACUGCAAACAUAGUUUGCUGUUGUAAAAUAAUUAACAGAUUUGUUUAUAGUUGGCUUGCAUGCUUGCCUGUUUAAUAAGGCCCGUGACAGUUUUCAUGACAUGCAAGAACAAGAGAACAGACACCCAAUGCACAUCCUGGCCAAUGUUAUUUCAUUCAGAGAAAUGGGGCGGGGGCAGCUGGAAGUGGACACUACCACAGAAAACAAGUACCACUCAAUUAAACUAGAGAGAAGCCUGCACAGAAAACAUAAGUCUAUAGAAAUGGGGAAAACUGAGGGCUGAAUGUUCCCAUUAAAAAGCUGAAGUCACUCACAGUUACCCAUGACAGCAUCAGUCCCCUGUUCAUUACAGAAAUUCUGGACACGCCCCUCAUCCCUGUGCCUGCUCCUGGAAAUGGAAGCAUAUUUCACUAAAAGCUCUCAGUAUCCAAUCAGCUGAUCUUUGAUGAUGUACGUGUGCAGAAAGUACUGGUAAAGUAUGUUUUGAAUUAUGAGGAAAUGCAAUGGAUUUAGAGCUGCAAUGUGUUAUUUCUAUUUAGAUGGUGUAGAGUGGCAUAAGCUGGAACCCCUUUACACAUCCAGGGAAGGAAGCCUUCCCAGAGGAAACCUGGCUCACUUACCGUCAACAUGCCAUAGCAUUUGGAACCCACUUCUAGCAUUCAGUCCAUCAGAGUAGAACUCCACAUGAAGGCUGGUCCCUGUGGUGCUCCCUGCCAGUGGAAGAGACUGUCCACAGAAAGUGCCUAUCAGGCUGGAUUGUGCAUCAGGCCCAUCAUAGAGCUGAAAUGAAGAAAAAAAAAAAAAAAGCCAGUGAGUCAAAAGAAGCUCCCCAGUUAAGCAGCUUCCCAAUGUUUUGUACAGGAUUGAAAAAAAAACCAAAAACCAAAACAGUGACACUUCUUCCACUGGCCACCCUUGCACAGCAAUAUGAGCCUGGGGAAUGUGGAAAGAUUUGGGUAAAAUGAUGAGUAAAUACAAGGCCAAUAAGUCUUUAAACCUGGCUGUACACUGUGUGCAGUAGGAAGGGUUUGCUGUUGCUGUUUUGGUGUGUAUUGGGGGUUGCUGGGGAAGAAGAUAAAGGGCAAGUGGCAGUGAACUGAAAUAGAAAGAAAAAGAGGAUGUUGUGGGUCUGAUUUGCCCAUGCACCUAACACUGAGUGCCUCCAAACCCCUUGGUGACAACUCUGUUUAUAUCUUCAUCUGUUUAAGGCUGCAGCCAGGUGAUGUGAGGACUGCCUGGGCUUCUGAUGGAGUAAAUCAAGCAGUCAGCAUCAUGAUGGCCUCCCAGAGUAGUGAGGACAAACUGAAAACCAGAAGUAAAGUAAAUCUUCAAAAACACAAGGAGAUUUUAUGUGAGUUUAUUUAUGGUUUCAUAAUCUCAUGCUUAAGUCUUUGGAGGAAAACUGUACUGAGCCAUGCUACUGAAAUUUGAUUUCCUUGUCAUAUGCUAUGUGCUGGUAUUUUGACAAUCAGUGAUUAGUCAGAUAUAGCCAGCCCAAAAACCUUGAUGUUUUCCAAAUAUAGAUGAGGACUCUUCCAUCCCACUCUUAAAACAUUGCCACUCUUAAAAAAAUCCAAAAUCAACCAAACAAUCAAAACAACAAAAUGCUAGGGAAAUAUUUCUGUGUUUAAACAUUUAAAUGAUGUCUGAAAGCAGUCAUAUAUUCCCAACUAAAUGAAAACACCUAAUACAUAUUUUGAUGGGGUGAUAGUAGAUGCUUAGAGCUUUUUAACUUCUUUACAUUUGUUGUCUCCAGACAGGUUUAAAUAGUAUUUCAAAUUCUAGUUUUGGAAGUUCUUUCAAAUCCAGUAAAUCACACUCAACAUACCUGUGUGGUCUCACCAAAUACCCCAUACCCAAGUGUCAUUUUUCGGGCAUGAGGAAUGUAAUUUUUGCAAAGAUAGUAAAAAUGAAACAUUUUAGCUAGAUUGCCUUUGAUUUACAAUAUCAAAUUGCUGACUAUUUUCAAGGUAGGAUUUGCUUUAUUAUUUGUACCUUGGUUACUAUGAUUCUUAAAGUUUAGGAAAACAGCAACCCUUGUCCUUUGUUAUCACUUUAUGAGAGUUCAUCUGAUCUUUUGUCUUACAAAGCAUAUCUUCCUAACACAACCCAGCAAAUUACUGGCACAGAAACCAUGUCUGAACAUUCUCAUUGUGCAUUUUUGGCAUGCUUCCUUACAGAAUUUCAACAAAAACUUUUCUCUCUUCUGAAGCCAUUCCUGUUAAGUUGUCUCUGUGCAAAGAAUAAAAUCUAUGAUCUCUAGAAAAACA
This is a long non-coding RNA of Haemorhous mexicanus (house finch), 3759 nucleotides long. RefSeq lists it as uncharacterized. NCBI's taxonomy places the organism in Eukaryota, Metazoa, Chordata, Aves, Passeriformes, Fringillidae. The record is from RefSeq and is a predicted model, not a curated record. The transcript has 4 exons.